Long non-coding RNA from Ictalurus punctatus (channel catfish), 1108 nucleotides. NCBI's taxonomy places the organism in Eukaryota, Metazoa, Chordata, Actinopteri, Siluriformes, Ictaluridae. The record is from Ensembl.
AAAAACAGGCGUUUGACGGUUUAUUAAUAAGUUAGUGAAAAUUAAUACAUACAUGAAUCAAUUCUAAUAUAUUUUUUUUAUAUAUUAUUAUAUAAAACUGACAAUUCAGACAUCUAAAAAGUUAAUGCGCAAUAAGAAUUUAGUUUUUUUUUUCUACAAACGCAAUACGCGUCACUUCAUCAAACGUCCGUGAGACACAAAACGCUUUUUAUUUAGUUCCGACCGGAAGUGCAUUACAUUUAAAUGUCUAUUCCCUGUGUUUUGCAGUGUGAAUCAUUUUUUUGGAUCAAUCUUUGGAGUUGACUCAUUGAGGUUUUUAAAUGGCUGGAAUCAGUGAAUCGACUCUAUAUAUAUAUAUCUGAUGCAGUGCUGAGAGCACGCCACCUGCUGGAGAAACAUGAAUCGGACGUGCUUGAGAUCAGACGGUACAUCAUUAAACAUCACUAUUCACUCAGUAAUCUUUUUUAUGUUACUCUGUGUAGUGUGAGAUUUAAUAGGAAGCUAUUCAAAAUAAUAUCUGUUGGAUAAAAUGUUAAUAAAUUGUUUAAUAUAUAUUUUUUAAUAUCCUAGAAACAACCUCUAUCACUAGAGAUAUGCCAGGAUUUAUGAAUAUGCACGAGCACAUUUACAUUUAUUCAUUUAGCAGAUGCUUUUAUCCAAAGCGACUUACAAAUGAGAAAAUAUGUAUGCAAAUGAGUAUGCAAAUCAGACACGCCCCCGUGGCCACCUGCCAUUCCUAAAAUAUCGUUAUCAAUAUUAACUUUAGCUCCCUUAUAACUGUGUCUUAUAAUGGAAAGAGUUAAUAUUAUUUUUAUAUUAUUAUAGAGUUAAUUAUUUUAUUAGUCUUUUUUUAAACAGUGUUCAGGGGUCCAAGUGGAAUCCUUUUAGGAACCCUUUUUGUGAACGUAUUUUAUAAAAGAAUCGUUAAAAUGUACGCAGUUUCCCAAGCGUAACCGAUCAGCUGAGAGACGUUCUGCUUUAGUUUUGCACCAAAGCUAUGACGCUAAGGCGUUUUUGUUUUUGGAAAGAAAAAAAAAAAUGGUUCUUUAAAGGUUCCUCAAGCGGUUAAGUGGUUAACUAAAGGUUCUUAGUGUUCUAAAGAGGUUCU